GAUGAACGCUGGCGGCGUGCUUAACACAUGCAAGCCGAGCGAGUGAGUUCUUCGGAACGAUCUAGCGGCGGACGGGUGAGUAACACGUGGGCAACCUGCCUCAUAGAGGGGAAUAGCCUCCCGAAAGGGAGAUUAAUACCGCAUAAAAUUAUCGAGUGGCAUCACACGAUAAUCAAAGGAGUAAUCCGCUAUGAGAUGGGCCCGCGGCGCAUUAGCUAGUUGGUGAGGUAACGGCUCACCAAGGCGACGAUGCGUAGCCGACCUGAGAGGGUGAUCGGCCACAUUGGGACUGAGACACGGCCCAGACUCCUACGGGAGGCAGCAGUGGGGAAUAUUGCACAAUGGGGGAAACCCUGAUGCAGCAACGCCGCGUGAGUGAUGAAGGUCUUCGGAUUGUAAAGCUCUGUCUUUGGGGACGAUAAUGACGGUACCCAAGGAGGAAGCCGCGGCUAACUACGUGCCAGCCGCCGCAGUAA
RNAcentral lists this ribosomal RNA (476 nucleotides) under uncultured bacterium. RNAcentral describes it as "partial 16S ribosomal RNA". It matches the Rfam family "Bacterial small subunit ribosomal RNA", at positions 28 to 523 of the family's 1533-position model. The record is from RNAcentral.